This is a non-coding RNA of Phoenix dactylifera (date palm), 2015 nucleotides long. The record is from RefSeq and is a predicted model, not a curated record. NCBI's taxonomy places the organism in Eukaryota, Viridiplantae, Streptophyta, Magnoliopsida, Arecales, Arecaceae.
UCUCCUAAGUCUAACAAAAAGAAAGUCCUAGGUCAUGUUGAACUUCGUCCAAAACCUAGGGACUCUCUAUAAAUCUGAUCCCCCUUCCAUUCUAGGAACUCCAUUGUUGUGAUUUCCUCCCAAUCACUUCCAAUUUGCGAGUUCUUUGAUCAAGACUUCCACGGAUUCACAUCGAGUUUUCUAACCCUGCCAGCUUGCAUAACUCGCUGGAGUCGAGCCACCACGGCUGCAUGUUGCUGCCAUCACAGCCUUCAUUGUCGAAGGGUGAGCCCCGGAGGACAUUUGCCGCUAUCACCGAUUGCCACGAGCUUCCUCCAUCUGGUAUGAUAUUGAGUGAUAAAAACAUGUGUAUAAGCUCGUUUAUUAGUGCUAUUAGAGCUAUGUAUACUCUAAACAGCAAGCACAAAUUCAACAGAUGCACCCCUUUUUGUGCAAAUUAAAGAAAUAAUUAACAUGGCCAAUGAACAAAGCAGAAGUACCGUACCUACUUAAAUUUUAGUGUUAGAAUAUAAAAUUUUGUCUUUGUACUGAUAUGAAGUAAUCGCAAGCAUUGAUUGUCGUGUUGCAACUUAUGAUCGAAUCUGGCCCAAUCAUUUGUUUUGGUAACAUUAGACUCCUGUAGAUAACUUCUGCAUUUAGUACACAUUCGCAUAUGAAGCAGCAGCUGCUACAUUGCUGAACCAAUACAUUAGUAAGAGAGAACGGACAAAUCUACUCCAAAAAUCAUAUCUUGGUUUAACAAUGCAACUUAGGAUGAUGGCUUGCAACAAUCAAAUAAACGAUUACAUCUUUCUAUUAAAGAUUUGGGAUUGAGGACAGAUGGAAUUCCUAACAAUCCUUUUCAGCAUUCGACCUGAAUUGGAAUCUUUAAUCAUAGGUUCACCUAACAAGUUAAAAAUCUUCGCUCUUCAUUUUUCUCUAAUAUAAUCACUUCUAUUCCUCAUCCUCGCAAAACCAUAUUCCCAACCCUAAGCCUAAACCGAGAGGAGAGACAUCAGAAGAAAGAGCAAUGAGUGAAAGAACCUUACCCCAAGAAGCAACUGCCAGGAUCCAUGGGAACUCACCAGCAGCCGAUCAGCAACAAAGGGAUGGUUAAAUGAGAGGUUGACUAUAAGAAUAAAACUACUAGAGUAUCCUUUCUGUCAUCUUGAGACUAAUACGAUAUCGGCAAAGCACGGAAAAGAAUAGGAUAGUUCAGAUAUCAAACAUGAAAGUAAAUUUUGACAGAUCAAAGAAGGCUACCAAAGCAUUCCUCAUGGAAACAUUGGAAUAACAAAAUGCAGAAAAAAUAUCUUUCCUCCUAUCCCUGAAAAAAUCAAGAUAACGGGAUUCAUCUCGAAUCUUUCUCAGACCAGAGAGCCUGUCAAAUAUUUCUCGCAUGAACUAGGUAAUGGACAAACCACUCACCCCACAAACCCCAGUAGAGGAUAAACCGAUCAUCCAGACGCAAAAAUUUCUGCAGAAUACGUAAACGUAAACAAUCUCUAGAACACCGUCAAAGUUAGAGGUCAAUACAGGAAAACUACAUGAAUCAGCCGAAAACCAGUACCACCCAUUCUCGAUGGUGCUUUCGAACCCGCUUCCGAAGCAGCAGGAAAUGCACGAUUUGAUCUACUCAUGACAGAGGGCCCGUGCUACAUUAUUAAUAGACAGUAACACUUCACUGGGCACCAAUGUAUUAAUACUACCAUGCCCUGCCCCAGCAGAGCAUUGGAGGGACUGAAAGUAUUCAGUGGUUCACCAAGAAACAUUCUAGAGAAGAAUGCCACAGAUUCUCCUCAAGGGAAGCAACUGGAUUGUAUCACACAUGCACUGUAAACUGUCACCAAGCACUUCACUGUUUUCUAUAGUCAAGCACAAACUGGAAUCAUACAGGCAAAUUCAUUGAUUACAACGACACAAUCAACACCUGAAGUAGCCAUAUCCAAAAUAAAAUUCAUAGAACGAAACAUCAAACUUUCUGUUCUGCAGAUAUAACUGCAACGACAAAACAAUGACUUAUUUCUCUCGUCAGA